This 254-nucleotide ribosomal RNA is filed under the name uncultured bacterium. RNAcentral describes it as "partial 16S ribosomal RNA". It matches the Rfam family "Bacterial small subunit ribosomal RNA", at positions 524 to 776 of the family's 1533-position model. The record is from RNAcentral.
UACGGGGGGAGCAAGCGUUGUUCGGAUUUACUGGGCGUAAAGGGCGCGUAGGCGGUCAGCACAAGUCAGUUGUGAAAUCUCCGGGCUUAACUCGGAAAGGUCAACUGAUACUGUGCGACUAGAGUGCGGAAGGGGCAACUGGAAUUCUCGGUGUAGCGGUGAAAUGCGUAGAUAUCGAGAGGAACACCUGCGGCGAAGGCGGGUUGCUGGGCUGACACUGACGCUGAGGCGCUAAAGCUAGGGGAGCGAACGGG